Molecule: ribosomal RNA, 262 nt
Filed under: uncultured archaeon
Lineage: Archaea
Description: partial 16S ribosomal RNA
Rfam family: Archaeal small subunit ribosomal RNA
Source: RNAcentral
CAGCCGUAAACUAUGCGCGUUAGGUGUACUGGUGACCACGAGUCACCGGGGUGCCGAAGGGAAACCGUGAAACGUGCCGCCUGGGAAGUACGGUCGCAAGGCUGAAACUUAAAGGAAUUGGCGGGGGGAGCACCACAACGGGUGGAGCCUGCGGUUUAAUUGGACUCAACGCCGGAAAUCUCACCGGAUAGGACAGACAUAUGAUAGUCGGGCUGAAGACUCUACUUGAUGAUCUGAGAGGUGGUGCAUGGCGUCAGUGACU